Molecule: ribosomal RNA, 749 nt
Filed under: Australozyma saopauloensis
Lineage: Eukaryota; Fungi; Ascomycota; Pichiomycetes; Serinales; Metschnikowiaceae
Description: eukaryotic LSU rRNA
Rfam family: Eukaryotic large subunit ribosomal RNA (bases 233-749)
Source: RNAcentral
UACGAAAAUAAAUUUAAAACUUUCAACAACGGAUCUCUUGGUUCUCGCAUCGAUGAAGAACGCAGCGAAUUGCGAUACGUAAUAUGACUUGCAGACGUGAAUCAUUGAAUCUUUGAACGCACAUUGCACUGGAGGGUAUUCCCUCCAGUAUACCAAGUUGAGCAUCUUUUUUCUCAUUCCCUCGGAAUGGCCUACCUACCAAAAUCUUAUCAACUACGUUAUAAGAACCUUAAUUUCUCAGCUUGGCAGGACUACCCGCUGAACUUAAGCAUAUCAAUAAGCGGAGGAAAAGAAACCAACAGGGAUUGCCUCAGUAACGGCGAGUGAAGCGGCAAAAGCUCAAAUUUGAAAGCUUCGGCAUUGUAAUUUCAAGGAAUUAAAUUGACAUAAAGAAAAAGUUCAUUGGAAAAUGACGCCUUAGAGGGUGACAGCCCCGUAUCUUACAGUCUUUUAUUUUUUUCCAAAGAGUCGAGUUGUUUGGGAAUGCAGCUCUAAUGGGUGGUAAAUUCCAUCUAAAGCUAAAUACAGGCGAGAGACCGAUAGCGAACAAGUACAGUGAUGGAAAGAUGAAAAGCACUUUGAAAAGAGAGUGAAAAAGUACGUGAAAUUGUUGGAAGGGAAGGGCUUGCAAGCAGACACGGUCUAACCGGGCCAGCAUCGUGUGCUCAGGUGUCAUAAAUCCAAAAGAAUGUAAGCUUCGGUGGUUAUAUCUUUCGGCAAUAGCACCCCGGGCGCACGAGGACCGCUAA